GACGAACGCUGGCGACGUGCUUAACACAUGCAAGUCGAACGGAAAGGCCCUGCUUUUGUGGGGUGCUCGAGUGGCGAACGGGUGAGUAACACGUGAGUAACCUGCCCUUGACUUUGGGAUAACUUCAGGAAACUGGGGCUAAUACCGGAUAGGAGCUCCUGCUGCAUGGUGGGGGUUGGAAAGUUUCGGCGGUUGGGGAUGGACUCGCGGCUUAUCAGCUUGUUGGUGGGGUAGUGGCUUACCAAGGCUUAGACGGGUAGCCGGCCUGAGAGGGUGACCGGCCACAUUGGGACUGAGAUACGGCCCAGACUCCUACGGGAGGCAGCAGUGGGGAAUAUUGCACAAUGGGCGGAAGCCUGAUGCAGCAACGCCGCGUGCGGGAUGACGGCCUUCGGGUUGUAAACCGCUUUCGCCUGUGACGAAGCGUGAGUGACGGUAAUGGGUAAAGAAGCACCGGCUAACUACGUG
This 468-nucleotide ribosomal RNA is filed under the name uncultured bacterium. Its description in RNAcentral is "partial 16S ribosomal RNA". It matches the Rfam family "Bacterial small subunit ribosomal RNA", at positions 28 to 507 of the family's 1533-position model. The record is from RNAcentral.